UAAGUAGGACAGACAAUCGCGGCUGCAGGCGCCGAAAGGCCGCAGACGAGGAAAGUCCGGGCUUCACAGGGCAGGAUGCCGGAUAACGUCCGGUGGAGGUGACUCCAAGGCCAGUGCAACAGAAAUAAACCGCCGCGGGCACACUUUUCGGAGCAGUCCGGGAAGUACGGCCUGCGGUAAGGGUGGAAAGGCAGUGUAAGAGACUACCGCCCUGGUGGUAACAGCAGGGGCACAUGUAAACCCCAUCCGAAGCAAGACCGAGAAGAGGCAUUGUGGCGGCCCGUCACGCUUCAGGUAGGUCGCUCGAGCACGGCGGUAACGCCGCGCCUAGACAGAUGAUUGUCCAACGACAUAACCCGGCUUAUCGUCCUGCUUGACAC
RNAcentral lists this RNase P RNA (380 nucleotides) under Lachnoclostridium sp. An169. RNAcentral describes it as "Bacterial RNase P class A". It matches the Rfam family "Bacterial RNase P class A". From Rfam's summary of the family: Ribonuclease P (RNase P) is a ubiquitous endoribonuclease, found in archaea, bacteria and eukarya as well as chloroplasts and mitochondria. Its best characterised activity is the generation of mature 5'-ends of tRNAs by cleaving the 5'-leader elements of precursor-tRNAs. Cellular RNase Ps are ribonucleoproteins. Lineage: Bacteria; Bacillati; Bacillota; Clostridia; Lachnospirales; Lachnospiraceae. The record is from Rfam by way of RNAcentral.